ACAUGUGGCACCCCUGAAAAAGGGGGGGGAAGACUCUUCCCCUUCUUAUUUACAUACACCGUUCUAUAAUGUCGAAUGUGAUCUUGUGCUUUCUUUAGAGGGCUGACCUUAAUGUUAAUACAACUUUUAACAACGGAUCUCUGGCUCUCGCAUCGAUGAAGAACGCAGCGAAAUGCGAUAAGUAAUGUGAAUUGCAGAAUUCAGUGAAUCAUCGAAUCUUUGAACGCACCUUGCGCUCCCCGGUAUUCCAGGGAGCACACCUGUUCGAGUGUCGUGAAAUUCUCAAGCUUAUAGAUUGUUUUUCAUCUUAGGCUUGGUUGUUGGGCUUUGCCGUGCCCCUCUUUAUUGAGGGAACGGCUGGCCUUAAAAGCAUUAGCUGACUCUCGUGUAGGAUUGGUUCUACUCAGCGUGAUAAUAAUUCUGACCGCCGAGGACAUCUUUCGGGAUGGCCAAUUCUUGCUUGGGUUGCUUCAAACUCUGGUUUACAGAUCUCUAUAUCUGUUCCACUAUCAAGUUUGACCUCGAAUCAGGUGGGACUACCCGCUGAACUUAAGCAUAUCAAUAAGCGGAGGAAAAGAAACUAACAAGGAUUCCCCUAGUAACGGCGAGUGAAGCGGGAAGAGCUCAAAUUUAAAAUCUGGCAGUCUUUGAUUGUCCGAGUUGUAAUCUAGAGAAGCGUUUUCCGUGCUGGACUGUGUACAAGUUUCCUGGAUACGGAACAUCAUAGAGGGUGAGAAUCCCGUCCUUGACACAGGCUCCCAGUGCUUUGUGAUGCGCUCUCGACGAGUCGAGUUGUUUGGGAUUGCAGCUCAAAAUGGGAGGUAAAUUCCUUCUAAAGCUAAAUAUUGGCGAGAGACCGAUAGCGAACAAGUACCGUGAGGGAAAGAUGAAAAGCACUUUGGAAAGAGAGUUAAACAGUACGUGAAAUUGUUAAAAGGGAAACGCUUGAAGUCAGUCAUGUUUGCUUGGACUCAGCCUUACUUCGGUUUGGUGCAUUUCCUUGCAGACGGGCCAGCGUCCAUGUUGUUUGUCGGAGAAGGGGUGAAAGAAUGUGGCUCCUUUGGGAGUGUUAUAGCUUUUGCUCGUAUGCGGGGAACAAUAUGGAGUGGUACAGCACUGCUUCGGUGGUGCUGUGCUGUCACUGCAUGCCUUCAAU
This 1156-nucleotide ribosomal RNA is filed under the name uncultured Clavulinaceae. Its description in RNAcentral is "eukaryotic LSU rRNA". The stretch from base 517 to 1156 matches the Rfam family "Eukaryotic large subunit ribosomal RNA", at positions 1 to 644 of the family's 3401-position model. The record is from RNAcentral. Lineage: Eukaryota; Fungi; Basidiomycota; Agaricomycetes; Cantharellales; Hydnaceae.